AAGUGACAUGUCAGAGCUGCGAUUGCCUUCAGUAGUCCAGUUUUAAGUCCAAAGCCUUAAUCGUUCUUUCUGGAUACCCAGUACCUUAUAAUGCAGUGCUGAGGAAAUUAAGCCUCGCCGGGACAGUUUCUCACUGGAGGCACUGACGUUCACAAUCUU
Molecule: long non-coding RNA, 159 nt
Filed under: Capra hircus (goat)
Lineage: Eukaryota; Metazoa; Chordata; Mammalia; Artiodactyla; Bovidae
Description: lncRNA (ENSCHIG00010030313.1)
Source: RNAcentral